GCGGAUAUGGUGCAAUGGCUAGCAUGUGAGGCUUCCAACCUUUUGAUACGGGUUCGAGUCCCGUUAUCCGCU
RNAcentral lists this transfer RNA (72 nucleotides) under Symploca sp. SIO1B1. RNAcentral describes it as "tRNA-Gly". It matches the Rfam family "tRNA". From Rfam's summary of the family: Transfer RNA (tRNA) molecules are approximately 80 nucleotides in length. Their secondary structure includes four short double-helical elements and three loops (D, anti-codon, and T loops). The record is from RNAcentral. RNAcentral also lists the same sequence under 2 other names. Lineage: Bacteria; Bacillati; Cyanobacteriota; Cyanophyceae; Coleofasciculales; Coleofasciculaceae.